GGAAUAUUGGGCAAUGGGCGGAAGCCUGACCCAGCGACGCCGCGUGAGGGAAGAAGGUCUUCGGAUUGUAAACCUCUUUCAGCAGGGAAGAAGGAAGUGACGGUACCUGCAGAAGAAGUCACGGCUAACUACGUGCCAGCAGCCGCGGUAAUACGUAGGUGGCGAGCGUUAUCCGGAAUUACUGGGUGUAAAGGGUGUGUAGGCGGGUCGGCAAGUCAGGCGUGAAAUGAGAAGGCUCAACCUUCUAACUGCGCUUGAAACUGUCGAUCUUGAGAGUGGGAGAGGUAAACGGAAUUCCUGGUGUAGUAGUGAAAUGCGUAGAUAUCAGGAGGAACACCGGUGGCGAAGGCGGUUUACUGGACCACAACUGACGCUGAGACACGAAAGCGUGGGGAGCAAACA
Molecule: ribosomal RNA, 402 nt
Filed under: uncultured bacterium
Lineage: Bacteria
Description: bacterial SSU rRNA
Rfam family: Bacterial small subunit ribosomal RNA
Source: RNAcentral